UACGGAGGGUGCAAGCGUUAUCCGGAUUCACUGGGUUUAAAGGGUGCGUAGGAGGGCAGGUAAGUCAGUGGUGAAAUCCCCGAGCUUAACUUGGGAACUGCCGUUGAUACUAUCUGUCUUGAAUACCGUGGAGGUGAGCGGAAUAUGUCAUGUAGCGGUGAAAUGCUUAGAUAUGACAUAGAACACCUAUUGCGAAGGCAGCUUACUACGCAUAUAUUGACGCUGAGGCACGAAAGCGUGGGGAUCAAACAGG
This 253-nucleotide ribosomal RNA is filed under the name uncultured bacterium. RNAcentral's name for it is "partial 16S ribosomal RNA". It matches the Rfam family "Bacterial small subunit ribosomal RNA", at positions 524 to 776 of the family's 1533-position model. The record is from RNAcentral.